Cheilinus undulatus (humphead wrasse) is the source of this 77-nucleotide small nucleolar RNA. RefSeq annotates it as small nucleolar RNA SNORD121A. NCBI's taxonomy places the organism in Eukaryota, Metazoa, Chordata, Actinopteri, Labriformes, Labridae. The record is from RefSeq and is a predicted model, not a curated record. The transcript has a single exon.
UUUUUGGAGAUAAUGAUGGUUACAAGCACAUAUCUCAAUAAUUUAUGUGGAAAUAUCAUUAACUGAAUCUCCCAUGC